GCUGAGGAGUCCCAUACCAGGACGAAACGGCCGUCCAGUGC
This 41-nucleotide non-coding RNA is filed under the name Schistosoma curassoni. Lineage: Eukaryota; Metazoa; Platyhelminthes; Trematoda; Strigeidida; Schistosomatidae. The record is from RNAcentral.